AAAAUUGAUGAUAAACAAAAUUUCAUCAAAUCUUUAUCAUUCAAAAUCAUUAAUUGUCAUAUAUACUUUAGUCACGUUAGGUAAUUUUGUAAGUUUUGUUUAAGGAAAAAAAUGAAAAACAUUAAUACUUAAGUUUAUGGAUAGUUUAAUAAUUUUUUUUAGCAUAUAUAUUUAGAUAGACCAGUCUAUUUUUUUAAGGAUUUUAAAAAUGAAAAUCACAUUGUUAGUUAUUCUUCUGUAUCACAAACUUUCACACGGUUGAUCAUCUUAAAAUUAUGUUGCAUAAUCGUCAACAGAUCGAGUCCCUUGCCGCAGACUUUGGAAUUUUUGAAACAUUAGUUGAUCAUAAUUGUACGGCGGCUGCUCGGUCACGAAAAUGUAUGGCGAUCAAAGGCACACAUCGAUCUAAGGGGAAUUGCUUAAACUCGAGAAUUUCUUUCACAGUGACAAACAAACCUAAUAACUCCUCAGCUAUGGUCGAACCAUUGAAUUCUCGGAAAUUGAGUUUAAAACAUGACUUCCAAGCAUUGUCAUCUUGUUCUUCGUCUGAGUUGGAGUUGUUGGCGUUUCUACGAUUGACGCGUCGAUCGUGUUGAUGGCGAAGUGGGGCAAAUGGGUUUUCGUCUCCCUCUGAGUCGUAAGAUUUCCAAGCAUUGUCAUCUUGUCCUUUCUUAUCGAGGAGAGCUUUGAGUUAGAUUUCCAAUGCCGCUGGUUUGAGGUCAAUCAGCAUCAUGUAGCAGACGUUAUGCAUGUUUUACUGAAGAGUGGCCAGUCUGCCUCGCAACAGGAAGCUGUCGAGAAGAUGAAGGACUGUCGAUCGACGGUGAUGCCAGAAUACGGGCCGAGCAUAUUUUAUGGCCGAUUGAAGCCCAUAAGCAACCACAAACUACCAGAAUACCCUUGGACGACCUAAAACCCUAGUUAUGUGUGUUCUAAGCCAUUGUUGACGGCUACGCUUUCUUUUAUUCAUUGUUCUUAGUUAGGAGAGAAAGGAGGAACUCCUUCAGAGUCCUCCUGGAACUCCAUUGGUUUUGGUUUUUAUAUCUAUUGAAAUUUUAUAUCUAUUCAUCUA
Molecule: long non-coding RNA, 1072 nt
Organism: Brassica napus (rape)
Lineage: Eukaryota; Viridiplantae; Streptophyta; Magnoliopsida; Brassicales; Brassicaceae
Exons: 2
Source: RefSeq, a predicted model, not a curated record